RNAcentral lists this long non-coding RNA (616 nucleotides) under Olea europaea subsp. europaea. The record is from RNAcentral. Lineage: Eukaryota; Viridiplantae; Streptophyta; Magnoliopsida; Lamiales; Oleaceae.
GUUUUUCGAUUCCUGGCCCAACAAGCAUAGAACACGAUUUCAUCAAUAAAGACAAAAUCAUCGGAAGAAAAUUUCACACAUUUCUAUUAUAAAUGGCCAUUUACAAGUUCCAUUAAUCACACAUUCUCAUACAAUCAAGAAAUCAAAAUCAUCUUCACAGCUUGCAGAUAAAAAAUGGGUUUCUUUUCAGGGUUUUUGAGCUGUUUCAGUACUGAAUCAUCUUCUUCCCGAGUCUCUGAUGCUAUGAUCCGAAACCAUAAAGCUACCUCAUCAGAGAAACCCAAGAGAGAAAUAAAGUCAAAAGCGCCGAUUCCAGUUUCUUACUUCCCGUUGAACUCACAGCUUUCGCGCCUAUAAUCGCUCAGUUUAUGCAGAUUUGAUCGUGUCUGUAUGGGAUUUCUCUGGCAGAUAAUGAAACUUUUAGGGAUGGCUUUUCGUUUGAGCUUGUAUCGUACGGAUUUCUUGUAGUAUGAAUUUGGUCGAUUUCCGCAAUCAUGAAUCAUGAUUUUCAUCAUUUUUAAGAUGAUUGAUUUGCUUUAGUAGACUCAAAUUGAUUUGUGUAUCUUCUACCAUUUUUAUGCAAUCUAUCAUUUUUGUUAAUACCCGUUUGAUACCC